GGGGUUGUAGCUCAGUGGUAGAGUGCUUGCCUAGUAUGUAUGAGGUACUGGGUUCGAUCCUCAGCACCACA
This 71-nucleotide transfer RNA is filed under the name Marmota monax (woodchuck). RNAcentral describes it as "tRNA.Thr". It matches the Rfam family "tRNA". From Rfam's summary of the family: Transfer RNA (tRNA) molecules are approximately 80 nucleotides in length. Their secondary structure includes four short double-helical elements and three loops (D, anti-codon, and T loops). Lineage: Eukaryota; Metazoa; Chordata; Mammalia; Rodentia; Sciuridae. The record is from RNAcentral.